This 366-nucleotide ribosomal RNA is filed under the name Triticum aestivum (bread wheat). RNAcentral's name for it is "partial small subunit ribosomal RNA". The record is from RNAcentral. Lineage: Eukaryota; Viridiplantae; Streptophyta; Magnoliopsida; Poales; Poaceae.
AUGUAUAUUGACGACGCAUUAUUAAUUGCAUGUCCACUGAGACCUUCCCACAAUGUUGUGGCCAUUAUCAGGUCUUUAUCUUUUUUUUAUUGGCAUGUGCAACCACGUAUCACAAUUUGUGGAGCUAAUUUCUUCAUCGGGUUUUUUUAUUGGCAAUGUGCAGCCACACAUUACAAUUUUGGAGUUAAUUUCUCCAUCAGGUCUUUCUUUCUUUUCUAUUUCACCAUCGUGUCUUUAUUUCUUUUCUUUCAUUGGCCUGUGCAGCCACGCAUCACAAUUUGUGGACUUCAUUGGGCAUCACAAUUUGUGGAGUUAAUUUCUCCUUCGGGUCUUUCUUUCUUCCCUUUUCCUUUGUUCCUAGAAUAA